GUGGGGAAUCUUCCGCAAUGGACGAAAGUCUGACGGAGCAACGCCGCGUGAGUGAAGAAGGUUUUCGGAUCGUAAAGCUCUUUCGUUAGGGACGAACGUGCUCUUUGUGAAUAAUGAGGAGUAAUGACGGUACCUAAAUAAGAAGCCACGGCUAACUACGUGCCAGCAGCCGCGGUAAUACGUAGGUGGCAAGCGUUGUCCGGAAUUAUUGGGCGUAAAGCGCGCGCAGGCGGGAUAUCAAGUCUGUCUUAAAAGUGCGAGGCUCAACCUCGUGGGGGGACAGAAACUGGUAUUCUUGAGUGUCGGAGAGGAAAGUGGAAUUCCAAGUGUAGCGGUGAAAUGCGUAGAGAUUUGGAAGAACACCAGUGGCGAAGGCGACUUUCUGGACGAUGUCUGACGCUGAGGCGCGAAAGCUAGGGGAGCGAACGGGAUUAGAAACCCGAGUAGUCC
Molecule: ribosomal RNA, 450 nt
Filed under: uncultured bacterium
Lineage: Bacteria
Description: partial 16S ribosomal RNA
Rfam family: Bacterial small subunit ribosomal RNA
Source: RNAcentral